GAACAUUUUCCAUCCGCCUCCCGCCUCCUUUCUUUCUCUCUCCUCCCUCCCUCCUGGCUCUCUCCCUCCACCAGCGAGCCCCUCUGCUCUCCCUCGCUCCAAUCUGGAGAACUCCUUUGAGAGGUGGAGCCGCCGCCCCCAACCUCUCUCUCCGACUUCGAUCUCCCGCCGCUCCGAUCCCGAUCCCCAUCCCCAACCCCACCGUCAACGAUUCUCACCUAGUCUGGCCCCAGAUCGAGCAGGCGCUCCCAGACCGGCGACUGUCGUGCCCACGCCGAUCUGGACCUCGAUGCCCCCCUCUCUGGGUUGGGCAGGCGCGGUUCCCGUGACCAGUAGCCGGUGUCGUGGACCUGCGCAACCUCCUCUCUCUCGAGCCCACCGUCCGCUGCUCCCACACCGUGGAGCUCACCACCACCGGCGGCGACCUGCUUCUUCCUGGCCAUGGUGGUCCACAUCUUCCAUUCACGGUGCCCAUCUUCUCCUAUCCUCUUGGUUCCCUGCCACGUCGUCGGAUUUGGUCUUCGGCCGACCUUGCAGAUUGCUCCUAGCGAUGGGUAGUGCGGUGAAAGGCCACCAACAACAGCUCCACCCGUGUGAUUCGCUACUCCUCGAGCUCAAUGUCGGUGAGCCCGAGACGGUGCGGGACAAGAUGCUGCUGGAGCUUGAGCAGGAAUGCCUCGAUGUGUACAAGAGGAAGGUCGACUAGGUCAACCGCUGCAGGGCUCAGCUGCGGCAAUCCAUUGCCGAGGCCGAGGCUGAGCUCACUGGCAUCUGCUCGGUCAUAGGCGAGCUGCCAGUUCACGUCUGACAGGUUUGUUCCUGGCUCCACCUCCACUAGUGUAGUAUGCUGUCAUAUCAAAUAGUGCUAAUUAUUCAUAGCAAAUGAAAAGAAAAGAAGUAGAAUAGUGCUAAUUAUGGAUAGAUGAUGGAAGGGAAUUUUAGCAGUAAUCUCAAAACUGCACUUAGUUUUGUACCCUCUAAUAGCUAAGAUGAAAUAAAUCAAUUAUGAUUA
Long non-coding RNA from Triticum aestivum (bread wheat), 1012 nucleotides. RefSeq lists it as uncharacterized. NCBI's taxonomy places the organism in Eukaryota, Viridiplantae, Streptophyta, Magnoliopsida, Poales, Poaceae. The transcript is spliced from 2 exons. The record is from RefSeq and is a predicted model, not a curated record.